UUCCAGUGGUGGUUUUCCAGAACUGAGGUAUUCUGUUUAAUCAAGAAAAAAAAAAAAAAGGAAAGUUGCAACCAUUUUAGUUCUCAUUUCCUGAACGGCAACUAAGGCGGGUCACAAAAUGCCAGAAAUGUCAGUUU
Molecule: long non-coding RNA, 137 nt
Organism: Xiphophorus hellerii (green swordtail)
Lineage: Eukaryota; Metazoa; Chordata; Actinopteri; Cyprinodontiformes; Poeciliidae
Exons: 3
Source: RefSeq, a predicted model, not a curated record